GCUGGGAUUACAGGUGCCUGCCAUCACACCUGGCUAAUUUUUGUAUUUUUAGUAGAGACGGGGUUUCACCAUGUUGGCCAGGCUGGUCUCAAACUCCUGACCUUGUGAUCUGCCCACCUAGACCUCUCAAAGUGUUGUGAUUACAGGCGUGAGCCACAGCGCCCACCCUACAGAGAGGAAAUUUUAAGGAAAUGUCUGCUUUGAAUACUCAAUAAAAUAUAAGACAAAACCAAAAAUGAUACAGUGUGCUGAAAUUCUGACAGCAAUGAUAAAAGAAUUUUCAAGGAACUGAAAUCCAGUGACAAAAAUGAAAUCGAUCAAGGCUGUAGUUGCACACCUGAGACAUUCCUCGAGAAGGCAGAGGAGAAAGGUGUGAAAAACAGUGAACCAGAGAAGGAUGGCCAGGGACAACAAAGAUUGGAGCUCGGAAGUUGAAUGACAGAUAUUCUGGAGAAACACACCAGAGAUGACAAAAGGGUUUGUCAAACACAGCCCAACUCAACUGGAGUCCUGAGAAGGUGACCAGACCAGGAUGGAGGCCCAGGGAACUCACCAGAAGUCCCCAUGCAUCAGAACAAGGUCGAAGCAUCCUGGUGAGUAGAUAACACGUGCCCAUGCUUUGUGGGAGGAAGUCCUCCAGCAGUUUCUCUCCUUCCCCUUGGCUUUGACUCAGCCUACCUGGGAUUAUGCAGUUGGUUCUCCACUCCAGAUGCCUCAGGGAGGUGACCCUUCCUGUUCUGGGUUCUGCAGAAACCAACAGCUCUGGGCUUGUGCCCAUCAAGCACUCUUCUGCCCAUUUUAUACUCUUGUGGACGCAUGGUGGUGUUGAUACAAGCCCCGAAUUAAAGGAUCCAUGGCUGCCCGUGACAAGACAAAGCAAAAGCAGGCCAGAGUUAAACAGGCCCCUUGGGUCCCUUCCUUCAUUUCAUAAAUGGGAAAAUCAAGGUCUGGGCAGGGAAAGGGACUCAGCCAAGGCCACAUACACAGCACACUGAUGGCCGAGCCGGGGUUAGGACUCCCAGCAUACCCUGUAGACUUCUCUAAUAAUAGAUAGGCUGCUUGGUUUUUCUUUAUUAAGGGUUGGUUACACAUUAUCUCUCUCUGUCUUUCUUAAAACAAUUAUUCUUUAAUAUCUUUAUAUAUUCAGUAAGUGUUCAAAUUUCCAACUAUUUUAUGUCAAAAAGCAUUUUCUAACAUUUUUAUUAAAUCAAGAUCCAAACAAGAUGCACACAA
Molecule: long non-coding RNA, 1233 nt
Filed under: Homo sapiens (human)
Lineage: Eukaryota; Metazoa; Chordata; Mammalia; Primates; Hominidae
Description: HSALNT0391218
Source: RNAcentral